AAUGGAUCCAGGUUAAUUUUGCUAUCUUGACUGAUUGGAAUAUUGGAUUAAGAGAUGACGAACUUUCAGUUUGCACAUAUACUGGCGCAAGAAUUAAUGUGGCUUCUUACUAGAAUACUGCUUCUGUAGAAAACAAAAACAAGAAUUGAUCAAAGAUUAAUAGUACACUAGACGGAUUUAGGGCCAGUUAAAUGGGUCUAACUCAACACAUUGCUUUCAGCUUGAACUAUAUAUAAAUAUACAAAAUAUAUUUCUUAAAAUGCUACAUAUUAUAAAAUCAUACUCAUUUUUUAACUCACUACCUCUAAAUUCUGAAUUCGCAUCGGAAUAUCACCCGGACAUUGUAAACUAAAAAGGAUAUAUUAUAAUUUCACCUAAGCACAAUAAUUUGAAAACGGUAAAAAAGAUAUUCACCUUUUGCACUUUGAUUAUGCAGUUUCUUUGAUGGAAAAUGGUGAAGCUUCUUCAAUGAAAGUACUUUGUGAGCCUUCAAAAUCUUCUUAAUGCCAUGUAUCAAACUGACAUCCAUAUUAUAUAUACAAAAUAGGAAAAAAGUAAUAAGCUUCAAUUUCUACAUGUAAUUUUUGCUUGAUCUUUAGGAAGAAGAAGAAGAAAAGGAUGAGAAAAUUUCUGUUUAUAUUGAGCUAAUGAUACAUGAAAAAUGGUAGUUUCUUAUAGUUGUAACCUUUUGACAAAUAGAGUUUAUAAGACUAGUUAAGGACACUAAAAAAAAGACUAAAUAUAGAUAAUAAAAAAUUUAAAUUCACUUCACCCUAAGGUGCUUAACUUUAUUUUCUACUCUAGAAAAAAU
This 811-nucleotide long non-coding RNA is filed under the name Nicotiana tabacum (common tobacco). Its description in RNAcentral is "long non-coding RNA (NTAB_LNC013730)". Lineage: Eukaryota; Viridiplantae; Streptophyta; Magnoliopsida; Solanales; Solanaceae. The record is from RNAcentral.